Molecule: long non-coding RNA, 540 nt
Filed under: Serinus canaria (Common canary)
Lineage: Eukaryota; Metazoa; Chordata; Aves; Passeriformes; Fringillidae
Description: lncRNA (ENSSCAG00000013850.1)
Source: RNAcentral
GUUGGAGUCAGAUGUUAAUUACCACAACCCUCUUUGAACAUGCAUUGCUACUGUACCUUCCUGGCAGCAGUGAUUUUGCCUGACUUCUGUGAUGGCUUGACUUGGUGACUCUUCAGAGGUAGACAACUGUGUAUGCUGGUGGCCUUCCCCUGCAGGAGUGGAAGGGGAGGAAGAAGACGGGAACAGGGCUGCUAAGGAGACACAGGAAGGUGCCAGGCUCUUUCUCAGGUUCCAUGUUGGCAUGCUUCAGCACACAGAAAGGGGAAAACCAGCAGCACACUCUCCCUCACCUUAUUGUCACCAGAUGUCCUCUGCAGAUGCAUCAGAUGUCCUGCUCAGCCACUUAACAGAAGGCUUCUGGGGGUUACCAUGGUCUGGUUUUCAAGGUGGCGAGAUGCUUAUACCCUGAAGUGUUCAAGCUCCAGAGCACCCAUCACUCCUACUGUCAUCUCCAGGAACCACAUGUACUUCACACCUUGAAAAGGUAAGAUCCUGGUGCCUCCCAAAACAUGGGCAAAAUGACAUCCUGCCUCAGUGGCU